RNAcentral lists this ribosomal RNA (458 nucleotides) under Clostridiales bacterium oral taxon G74. RNAcentral's name for it is "bacterial SSU rRNA". It matches the Rfam family "Bacterial small subunit ribosomal RNA", at positions 32 to 491 of the family's 1533-position model. The record is from RNAcentral. Lineage: Bacteria; Bacillati; Bacillota; Clostridia; Eubacteriales.
AACGCUGGCGGCGUGCGUAACACAUGCAAGUCGAACGGUAUUUUGAAAGGAAAAGACUACGGUCUUGGAAAGACAAAAGAGAGUGGCGAACGGGUGAGUAACGCGUGAGCAACCUGCCUUCCACAAAGGGAUAGCUGCCGGAAACGGUAAUUAAUACCAUAUGAAUAACGAAUCGCAUGAUAAGGGAACUAAAGAGAAAUCGGUGGAAGAUGGGCUCGCGUCCGAUUAGCUGGUUGGAGAGAUAACAGCUCACCAAGGCGAUGAUCGGUAGCCGGCUUGAGAGAGUGAACGGCCACACUGGAACUGAGAGGCGGUCCAGACUCCUACGGGAGGCAGCAGUGGGGAAUUUUGCACAAUGGGGGGAACCCUGAUGCAGCGACGCCGCGUGAGCGAAGAAGGAAUUCGUUUCGUAAAGCUCUGUCCUAUGGAAAGAUAAUGACGGUACCAUAGGAGGAAGU